Molecule: ribosomal RNA, 1545 nt
Filed under: Salmonella enterica subsp. enterica serovar Bareilly
Lineage: Bacteria; Pseudomonadati; Pseudomonadota; Gammaproteobacteria; Enterobacterales; Enterobacteriaceae
Description: partial 23S ribosomal RNA
Rfam family: Bacterial large subunit ribosomal RNA
Source: RNAcentral
AGACCCGAAACCCGGUGAUCUAGCCAUGGGCAGGUUGAAGGUUGGGUAACACUAACUGGAGGACCGAACCGACUAAUGUUGAAAAAUUAGCGGAUGACCUGUGGCUGGGGGUGAAAGGCCAAUCAAACCGGGAGAUAGCUGGUUCUCCCCGAAAGCUAUUUAGGUAGCGCCUCGUGAAUUCAUCUCCGGGGGUAGAGCACUGUUUCGGCUAGGGGGCCAUCCCGGCUUACCAACCCGAUGCAAACUGCGAAUACCGGAGAAUGUUAUCACGGGAGACACACGGCGGGUGCUAACGUCCGUCGUGAAGAGGGAAACAACCCAGACCGCCAGCUAAGGUCCCAAAGUCAUGGUUAAGUGGGAAACGAUGUGGGAAGGCCCAGACAGCCAGGAUGUUGGCUUAGAAGCAGCCAUCAUUUAAAGAAAGCGUAAUAGCUCACUGGUCGAGUCGGCCUGCGCGGAAGAUGUAACGGGGCUAAACCAUGCACCGAAGCUGCGGCAGCGACACUCAGGUGUUGUUGGGUAGGGGAGCGUUCUGUAAGCCUGUGAAGGUGUGUCGUGAGGCAUGCUGGAGGUAUCAGAAGUGCGAAUGCUGACAUAAGUAACGAUAAAGCGGGUGAAAAGCCCGCUCGCCGGAAGACCAAGGGUUCCUGUCCAACGUUAAUCGGGGCAGGGUGAGUCGACCCCUAAGGCGAGGCCGAAAGGCGUAGUCGAUGGGAAACGGGUUAAUAUUCCCGUACUUGGUGUUACUGCGAAGGGGGGACGGAGAAGGCUAUGUUGGCCGGGCGACGGUUGUCCCGGUUUAAGCGUGUAGGCUGGUUUUCCAGGCAAAUCCGGAAAAUCAAGGCUGAGGCGUGACGACGAGGCACUACGGUGCUGAAGCAACAAAUGCCCUGCUUCCAGGAAAAGCCUCUAAGCAUCAGGUAACAUCAAAUCGUACCCCAAACCGACACAGGUGGUCAGGUAGAGAAUACCAAGGCGCUUGAGAGAACUCGGGUGAAGGAACUAGGCAAAAUGGUGCCGUAACUUCGGGAGAAGGCACGCUGACACGUAGGUGAAGUGAUUUACUCAUGGAGCUGAAGUCAGUCGAAGAUACCAGCUGGCUGCAACUGUUUAUUAAAAACACAGCACUGUGCAAACACGAAAGUGGACGUAUACGGUGUGACGCCUGCCCGGUGCCGGAAGGUUAAUUGAUGGGGUCAGCGCAAGCGAAGCUCCUGAUCGAAGCCCCGGUAAACGGCGGCCGUAACUAUAACGGUCCUAAGGUAGCGAAAUUCCUUGUCGGGUAAGUUCCGACCUGCACGAAUGGCGUAAUGAUGGCCAGGCUGUCUCCACCCGAGACUCAGUGAAAUUGAACUCGCUGUGAAGAUGCAGUGUACCCGCGGCAAGACGGAAAGACCCCGUGAACCUUUACUAUAGCUUGACACUGAACAUUGAGCCUUGAUGUGUAGGAUAGGUGGGAGGCUUUGAAGUGUGGACGCCAGUCUGCAUGGAGCCGACCUUGAAAUACCACCCUUUAAUGUUUGAUGUUCUAACGUGGACCCGUUA